Molecule: small RNA, 34 nt
Filed under: Bombyx mori (domestic silkworm)
Lineage: Eukaryota; Metazoa; Arthropoda; Insecta; Lepidoptera; Bombycidae
Description: ovarian small RNA-14996
Source: RNAcentral
CUUGAAAACUCACAAGUUUAGAAGUAAAGCCGUU